AUGAAGAGGCGCAGGCGGGCGGACCGGCUGAGCGCUCUCCCCGACGAGAUGCUCGAGCGCAUCCUCUCCCACCUCCGGUCCGACGAGGCCGUGCGCACAAGCGUCCUCUCCCGGCGAUGGCGCGACGUCUACGCCGGGGUACCCGUCGUGGACCUCGUCGAUCCCAAGGGCGGCAGGUGGAACGAGGUCCGGGUCUGCUUCGACCAGCAGGUGACGGGCGCGAUCCUCUGCAAGGGCCCGGGGACGCCCAUCCGCACCUUCCGCCUCAGCAUCUCCAACCCACCGCGCGACCUGCUCGAUCAGUGGAUCGUCUCCGCAGUCUCCUCUUGCGUCGAAGAGAUCAACGUCAAGCUCAUAUACUGGUUUUCCUCCGACCACCGCCUCUGCCCCUUUACCUCGUCGGGCUCGGCGGACUUCGAUAGCUAUGAUAGGGGAAGGUACGUCAGGACGCAGCACCACCUCUUUGGGUGCCCCACUCUCCGCCGCCUGCGCCUGACAAACUGGACGCUCGAUCUGCCAGGAAGAGUGUCCAUGGAGUCGCUGGAGAUGCUCUGCCUUGCGAGGAUCAUGUGCCCAGAAGGGAUGUUGCAGCAGCUGCUUUCGAGCUGCCCACGCCUCGCUGACCUGACCCUGCAGGAGUGCCCAAGUCUCAGGAAAAUCACGGUGAUCAGCCCCCACCUGCGGAGUUUCACCAUGAUCUGCUGCCACCAUGCCAGGCGCAUCAAGCUGAGCAGCUCAUGCAUCCGGUCACUGCACUAUAAAGGCGGCCUUCCACGCAAGUCGCUCUUCAAGCUCGCAAACCAUGCCGGAGUCACGGCGCUGACAGUUGAAAUUUGUGAAGGCCUCUCCGGAAAGGAACCAACAGAAUUUGCUCCGGCCACUAAGCUCAUCAAACGGUGCACCAAACUGGCGUACCUUCACCUUUCCUUGCGCCCAUCAAUGGCUUACUAUAGCAGCCUGUUCAAAGAUGCGGUGCCCUGCCUACAGCAUCUUAGGCAGUUAGGCCUCCAGUGUUGCCUACGCAACGAUCGCGACAUCCAGUCAGUUGCCAUCUUGCUUUGUGACACCCAGAACUUGGAGGUACUGUCGCUGUUUCCUCUGGAUGCAAAGACUCCAACGGACAUGCACACCGAAUCAGAUAGCGAGCCUGAGAACGACGGUGAGGAUGGUGCCGAUUAUAGUAGCCAGGUGACCGAUGGUGGUUUCUGGCCAACGCCCAUCAACUGCUUGGAUGAUAAGCUGAGAAGAAUCAACAUUGGGAUGUACACAGGGCUGCAACUCCAAAAGAUGCUUGCAAAGUUUCUGCUUUCAAAGGCUGCAGCUUUGGAGGAAUUCUCGGUGACCUUAACGGCUGGAUGUUCCCAAAAUAAGCGUAAGAUUGCAAAGAAGCUAAGAUCCUGGCGAUCGAAUCACCAUACCAGAGUAACUGUAAAUAGAUGA
Molecule: ribosomal RNA, 1440 nt
Filed under: Triticum aestivum (bread wheat)
Lineage: Eukaryota; Viridiplantae; Streptophyta; Magnoliopsida; Poales; Poaceae
Description: partial small subunit ribosomal RNA
Source: RNAcentral